CUGGGCGUAAGCGCACGCAGGCGGUCUGUCAAGUCGGAUGUGAAAUCCCCGGGCUCAACCUGGGAACUGCAUUCGAAACUGGCAGGCUAGAGUCUUGUAGAGGGGGGUAGAAUUCCAGGUGUAGCGGUGAAAUGCGUAGAGAUCUGGAGGAAUACCGGUGGCGAAGGCGGCCCCCUGGACAAAGACUGACGCUCAGGUGCGAAAGCGUGGGGAGCAAACAGGAUUAGAUACCCUGGUAGUCCACGCCGUAAACGAUGUCGACUUGGAGGUUGUGCCCUUGAGGCGUGGCUUCCGGAGCUAACGCGUUAAGUCGACCGCCUGGGGAGUACGGCCGCAAGGUUAAAACUCAAAUGAAUUGACGGGGGCCCGCACAAGCGGUGGAGCAUGUGGUUUAAUUCGAUGCAACGCGAAGAACCUUACCUACUCUUGACAUCCAGAGAACUUUCCAGAGAUGGAUUGGUGCCUUCGGGAACUCUGAGACAGGUGCUGCAUGGCUGUCGUCAGCUCGUGUUGUGAAAUGUUGGGUUAAGUCCCGCAACGAGCGCAACCCUUAUCCUUUGUUGCCAGCGGUUAGGCCGGGAACUCAAAGGAGACUGCCAGUGAUAAACUGGA
RNAcentral lists this ribosomal RNA (612 nucleotides) under Enterobacter asburiae. RNAcentral describes it as "bacterial SSU rRNA". It matches the Rfam family "Bacterial small subunit ribosomal RNA", at positions 554 to 1167 of the family's 1533-position model. RNAcentral also lists the same sequence under 1 other name. The record is from RNAcentral. Lineage: Bacteria; Pseudomonadati; Pseudomonadota; Gammaproteobacteria; Enterobacterales; Enterobacteriaceae.